This 305-nucleotide ribosomal RNA is filed under the name uncultured bacterium. Its description in RNAcentral is "bacterial SSU rRNA". It matches the Rfam family "Bacterial small subunit ribosomal RNA", at positions 335 to 637 of the family's 1533-position model. The record is from RNAcentral.
UUUCCUACGGGGGGCAGCAGUGAGGAAUAUUGGUCAAUGGGCGGGAGCCUGAACCAGCCAAGCCGCGUGAAGCAAGAAGGCGCCAGGCGUCGUAAACUUCUUUUGUCGGGGAACAAAGGGCGCCACGCGUGGCGUUGUGAGUGUACCCGAAGAAAAAGCAUCGGCUAACUCCGUGCCAGCAGCCGCGGUAAUACGGAGGAUGCGAGCGUUAUCCGGAUUUACUGGGUGUAAAGGGCGUGUAGGCGGGACUGCAAGUCAGAUGUGAAACCCAUGGGCUCAACCCAUGGCCUGCAUUUGAAACUGUU